GUUUUGAAGCUUAAUUAUCUAGUAGUAAAUAUUAUUUGCUGCAUAUCUCUAAUAGUAUAGUUUGCAUACAGUUGUUGUAAGAGAGGUAUGCUAGAACAUUUACUUCACAUACAAGGGGAAGCUUCUUUAAUUGUAUGUCAGGUGGUUUUGUGGGAAAAAACUAGAACUUUUUUUGCUGAAUUACAUGUUCAUGGUGUUUUUUUCUCUGUUUCUGUGCAGUUUAUCUUAUAUUGAAAUGAG
This 240-nucleotide unclassified non-coding RNA is filed under the name Hevea brasiliensis (rubber tree). Lineage: Eukaryota; Viridiplantae; Streptophyta; Magnoliopsida; Malpighiales; Euphorbiaceae. The record is from RNAcentral.